GUUUUAGUAAUUUAAUAAAAAUAAUGGUUUUGUAAACCAAAAUUGAGAAAUUUUCUCCUAAAACU
Molecule: transfer RNA, 65 nt
Filed under: Psylliodes sp. BMNH 846644
Lineage: Eukaryota; Metazoa; Arthropoda; Insecta; Coleoptera; Chrysomelidae
Description: tRNA-Thr
Source: RNAcentral